RNAcentral lists this ribosomal RNA (256 nucleotides) under uncultured bacterium. Its description in RNAcentral is "partial 16S ribosomal RNA". It matches the Rfam family "Bacterial small subunit ribosomal RNA", at positions 28 to 300 of the family's 1533-position model. The record is from RNAcentral.
GACUAACGCUGGCGGAAUGCCUCAUACAUGCAAGUCGAACGGCCCUUCGGGGCAGUGGCGGACGGGUGAGUAAUGCAUAGGUAACGUGCCUUAAACCUGGGGAUAACAGAGGGAAACUUCUGCUAAUACCGUAUAAGGCUGUGGUUGAAAUACCAUUGUUUAAAGCUUCGGCGGUUUAAGAUCGGCCUGUGUCGGAUUAGCUAGUUGGUAGGGUAAUGGCCUACCAAGGCUACGAUCCGUAACNGGUCUGAGAGGA